GGGCCCGUAGCUCAGUCUGGUUAGAGCGCACGACUGAUAAUUCAGUCCGACAUCGUGAGGUCAUGAGUUCAAAUCUCACCGGGCCCA
RNAcentral lists this transfer RNA (87 nucleotides) under Candidatus Daviesbacteria bacterium. Its description in RNAcentral is "tRNA-Ile". It matches the Rfam family "tRNA". From Rfam's summary of the family: Transfer RNA (tRNA) molecules are approximately 80 nucleotides in length. RNAcentral also lists the same sequence under 1 other name. Lineage: Bacteria; Candidatus Daviesiibacteriota. The record is from RNAcentral.